GAGAGCANGAGCCCGGAGAUGGAUUNNGAGACACGAANNNAGNNCCUACGGGGUGCAGCNGGCGCGAAAACUUUACAAUGCGGGAAACCGUGAUAAGGGGAUCUCGAGUGCCAGCAUAUAANGUUGGCUGUCCAGAUGCNUAAAAAGCAUCUGUUAGCAAGGGCCGGNCAAGACCGGUGCCAGCCGCCGCGGUAACACCGGCGGCCCGAGUGGUAACCGCUAUUAUUGGGUCUAAAGGGUCUGUAGCCGGCCAGGUAAGUCCCUUGGGAAAUCUGGCAGCUCAACUGUCAGGCUGCUAGGGGAUACUGUUUGGCUUGGGACCGGGAGAGGUGAGAGGUACCUUGGGGGUAGGGGUGAAAUCUUGUGAUCCCCGGGGGACCACCAGUGGCGAAGGCGUCUCACCAGAACGGGUCCGACGGUAAGGGACGAAAGCUAGGGGCACGAACCGGAUUAGAUACCCGGGUAGUCCUAGCCGUAAACGAUGCUCGCUAGGUGUCAGUCACGGUGCGACCGUGAUUGGUGCCGUAGGGAAGCCGUGAAGCGAGCCACCUGGGAAGUAUGGCCGCAAGGCUGAAACUUAAAGGAAUUGGCGGGGGAGCACUACAACGGGUGGAGCCUGCGGUUUAAUUGGAUUCAACGCCGGAAAUCUCACCGGGGGCGACAGCGAUAUGAAGGUCAGGCUGAAGACCUUACCGGAUUAGCUGAGAGGUGGUGCAUGGCCGUCGUCAGUUCGUACUGUGAAGCAUCCUGUUAAGUCAGGCAACGAGCGAGACCCACGUCCACAGUUGCCAGCAUACCCUCCGGGGUGAUGGGUACACUGUGGAGACCGCCGCUGCUAAAGCGGAGGAAGGAGUGGGCAACGGUAGGUCAGUAUGCCCCGAAUCUCCCGGGCUACACGCGGGCUACAAUGGUUGGUACAAUGGGCAUCUACCCCGAAAGGGGAAGGUAAUCUCUUAAAGCCAAUCGUAGUUCGGAUUGAGGGCUGCAACUCGCCCUCAUGAAGCUGGAAUCCGUAGUAAUCGCGUUCAACAGA
Molecule: ribosomal RNA, 1033 nt
Filed under: uncultured Methanosaeta sp.
Lineage: Archaea; Methanobacteriati; Methanobacteriota; Methanomicrobia; Methanotrichales; Methanotrichaceae
Description: bacterial SSU rRNA
Rfam family: Archaeal small subunit ribosomal RNA
Source: RNAcentral